Molecule: ribosomal RNA, 775 nt
Filed under: uncultured Neocallimastigales
Lineage: Eukaryota; Fungi; Neocallimastigomycota; Neocallimastigomycetes; Neocallimastigales
Description: partial large subunit ribosomal RNA
Rfam family: Eukaryotic large subunit ribosomal RNA
Source: RNAcentral
UACGACUACAUAUCAGGCAUAUCAAUAAGCGGAGGAAAAGAAACUAACAAGGAUUCCCUUAGUAACGGCGAGUGAAGCGGGAAGAGCUCAAAUUUGAAAUCUUCAAGGUUUUACCUUGACGAAUUGUAGUUUAAAGAAGUGUUUUCUGUUGAAGUUUUGGUAAAAGUUCUUUGGAAUAGGACAUCAUAGAGGGUGAGAAUCCCGUAUUUGACCAUUAUUUUCAGCUGUGUGAUACACUUUCAAAGAGUCGGAUUGUUUGGGAAUGCAGUCCAAAAUGGGUGGUAAAUUUCAUCUAAAGCUAAAUAUUGGCGAGAGACCGAUAGCGAACAAGUACCGUGAGGGAAAGAUGAAAAGAACUUUGAAAAGAGAGUUAAACAGUACGUGAAAUUGUCAAAAGGGAAGCGUUUGACACCAGUGUUGUUUUCUCGAAAAUCAAUUAAAAAAAGUUGGAUUUUGUGUUGUAUUGACCUUAACAGCUUGCUUCACUCUUUUCCAGCUUUUUUUAAUGCACUUUUCGUUUAACAAGUCAACAUCAGUUUCUUUUGUUGUAAAAGGGUCAUUGGAAGGUGGCUUUCUCUUCGGAGAAAGUGUUUAUAGCCUUUGAUCUCUGCAAUCGGAGAGACUGAGGUCUGCAGCGUAGAUCCUUCGGGGUUAGAUACAUUUGUGCUAAGCUACAGCUUUUCAUAGACAACUUGUUGGACUAUGUUUAGUCUUGUAACUUACCCGCUUAUGCUAUUUUACCUACGCUUAGGAUGUUGAGCGCAUGUCUCUCUCU